RNAcentral lists this long non-coding RNA (569 nucleotides) under Homo sapiens (human). RNAcentral's name for it is "HSALNT0396760". Lineage: Eukaryota; Metazoa; Chordata; Mammalia; Primates; Hominidae. The record is from RNAcentral.
AGGUGCCGGGCAGGCAGCACUGGGAGCGCUCGGCGACUUGGCUGGAGGCCGAAGGUGCCGCCCCUCGGGGACCAGAGCGUCUUUGCAAGCCCAUAGAAGAAACAGUGAAGAGUAAGAGGAAAAGGCUGCCAGAAGGGGAGUCUCACAACAGGAAGAAGUAACAGCUACGCAUAGAGGAAGGGAAGCUGUUCAAGAGCGGGCCCAGGAACACAACACAGAACCAUUGUGUGAGCUAUUCCGGGCAGACUGCCUAGGUCUCCAGGCAGCUCGGGGCCAGAGGCCUAACCCUCUUACACAGAGGCCUUGACCUGAGUUGCCUGGAGAGGGGGGAAUUAUAGCACAGAGAAAACUGUUUAAAGAGGAAGGGAAGCAUGUGACCCACUGGGGGUACAUUCCCACCCCAAUUAUUUAAAAGUAAUAUUUAACAUUUAAAAGGUUUUGAAGCUGAAAAGGCCACACUGCAGCUUUGUGGAAAACUUAGCUCUGUGGAAUUAUUUGUUCCCUGUGGGUUCUGGGUGUUGAUUUUACACUAAAAAAAUUAUUUUUGGAGUCGAUGAACACACAGUAUU